UAAGACCUUGCGCUUUUGGAGCGGCCGAUGUCUGAUUAGCUAGUUGGUGGGGUAAUGGCCUACCAAAGCUUCGAUCAGUAGCUGGUCUGAGAGGACGGCCAGCCACACUGGGACUGAGACACGGCCCAGACUCCUACGGGAGGCAGCAGUGGGGAAUUUUGGACAAUGGGCGCAAGCCUGAUCCAGCCAUGCCGCGUGAGUGAAGAAGGCCUUCGGGUUGUAAAGCUCUUUCAGCCGGGAAGAAAAGGCUGCGACUAAUAAUCGCAGUUCAUGACGGUACCGGAAGAAGAAGCACCGGCUAACUACGUGCCAGCAGCCGCGGUAAUACGUAGGGUGCGAGCGUUAAUCGGAAUUACUGGGCGUAAAGGGUGCGCAGGCGGUUUUGUAAGUCAGAUGUGAAAUCCCCGGGCUUAACCUGGGAACU
RNAcentral lists this ribosomal RNA (424 nucleotides) under uncultured bacterium. RNAcentral's name for it is "bacterial SSU rRNA". It matches the Rfam family "Bacterial small subunit ribosomal RNA", at positions 202 to 622 of the family's 1533-position model. The record is from RNAcentral.